AAGACUAUGCAGGAGGCUAUGAAAAAGGUACCUAAAGAUAUUCCAAAGGAUGACUGGGAAUGGCUUGUUAAGGAGCAUUUUUUCAGCAAGGAGUUUCUGAAAAAGAGCAAGAGAAACACCCAAAACAGAGCUAACCUCAAAAUGCUUCACCGAUCUGGCAGUAAACACUGUAGACAAAUAAUUUGGGACAUGGGAGGAAAGGAAAACAAGCCACCGA
Molecule: long non-coding RNA, 217 nt
Organism: Triticum dicoccoides
Lineage: Eukaryota; Viridiplantae; Streptophyta; Magnoliopsida; Poales; Poaceae
Exons: 3
Source: RefSeq, a predicted model, not a curated record